GAAACUAACCAGGAUUCCCUCAGUAACGGCGAGUGAAGGGGGAUUAGCCCAGCAUCGAAGCCUAUGGUUACUUAACUGUAAGGCAAUGUGAUGUUAUGGAUUAUGCCUAGGGUCACUGAUCAACUCGAAGUCCAAUAUUGAAUGUGGCUUUUGUAUUUUGCCCAGAGCGGGUGAUAGGCCCUUGCGAGUUGAUUGUUAGUUAUGUUGAGUGACCUCUAGAUGCAUUAUCUAUGGAGUCGGAUUGCUUGAGAAUGCAGUCCAAAGUUGGUGGUAAACUCCAUCAAAGGCUAAAUACUGGCACGAGUCCGAUAGCAAACAAGUACCGUGAGGGAAAGUUGAAAAGUACUCUGAAGAGAGAGUAAAUAGUACGUGAAACCACAUGUAGGUAAACGGGUGGAGUCCAGCUGCGUAUUUUGGGGGCUUAACUGGCACAUGAAUAUAUGGGUGUUGUGAACUGCCAUGCAUUGGUUUGCCGAUAAGGGCAAGUUAGGCCUAGCCUAAUUUGAGUUCUGUCGUGUAGACUGUUUGAGCCAUGCGUGUGUAGAUUGUGUGUGUUCGUGUGCCAGUGAUAUUCCUCAAGAUUGACAUCACGGUCAAUAUGGCUGCUAGUAUGUGAUGUGUCAAACCGUAAAGUGGUGGACCUUGAAGUUUGCUCUUUGCGGAAAGGCAGGUAAUUUGAACUGUGUACGCACUUGUGUGUGCAUAAUUUGAGUUUAAAUUUUGGCUAUGGCCCGCCGACCAUCAUGUUGUUUAUGUUUACAUUUAACUAUGCAGUGUAUUGGUUAUAGUUUGUGUUUAUGUGCAAUUAAUUGCUUUACGUUACCGGGUUUUGUUCAUGUUAGGUUAUGUGUAAAAGCGUGCCUAAUGUGAUACAUACUUGUGUGCGUGUGCAAUGAAGUUGUGUGUUCGCGUGAACUGUGGUGCUGUGGUA
This 931-nucleotide ribosomal RNA is filed under the name Calicotyle kroyeri. RNAcentral describes it as "eukaryotic LSU rRNA". It matches the Rfam family "Eukaryotic large subunit ribosomal RNA", at positions 61 to 623 of the family's 3401-position model. Lineage: Eukaryota; Metazoa; Platyhelminthes; Monogenea; Monocotylidea; Monocotylidae. The record is from RNAcentral.